RNAcentral lists this ribosomal RNA (495 nucleotides) under uncultured bacterium. Its description in RNAcentral is "partial 16S ribosomal RNA". It matches the Rfam family "Bacterial small subunit ribosomal RNA", at positions 28 to 507 of the family's 1533-position model. The record is from RNAcentral.
GACGAACGCUGGCGGCGUGCCUAAUACAUGCAAGUAGAACGCUGAAGGAGGAGCUUGCUUCUCUGGAUGAGUUGCGAACGGGUGAGUAACGCGUAGGUAACCUGCCUGGUAGCGGGGGAUAACUAUUGGAAACGGGAGCUAAUACCGCAUAAUAUUGACUAUUGCAUGAUAGUCAGUUGAAAGGUGCAACUGCACCACUACCAGAUGGACCUUCGGUGUAUUAGCAAGUGGGUGGGGUAUCGGCUCACCAAGGCGACGAGGCAUAGCCGACGUGUGAGGGGGAGUGGCCGCACUGGGAGGGAGACAGGGCCCAGAGGGAUACGGGUGGGAGCAGUAGGGCAUCUUGGGCAAUGGAUGGAAGUCUGAGCGAGCAGCGCCGCGGCAGGGUAGAAGGACUUCGGGUGGGAAAGGUCUGUUGUCAGAGAAGAACGAGUGUGAGAGUGGAAAGCUGACAGUGUGACGGUAACUGACCAGAAAGCGACGGCUAACUACGUG